CAUAUCACCUAGAAACACCGGUUCCCGUAAGAUCACCGAAGUUAAGCAACAUCGAGCCUAGUCAUAUCUAGAUAGGUGACCGCUUGGGAAUAACAGGUGUUGUAA
This is a non-coding RNA of Acanthosepion pharaonis, 105 nucleotides long. NCBI's taxonomy places the organism in Eukaryota, Metazoa, Mollusca, Cephalopoda, Sepiida, Sepiidae. The record is from the annotation of a GenBank genome assembly.